CCUACGGGAGGCAGCAGUGGGGAAUAUUGCACAAUGGGGGAAACCCUGAUGCAGCGACGCCGCGUGGAGGAUGAAGGUUUUCGGAUUGUAAACUCCUUUUGUUAGAGAAGAUAAUGACGGUAUCUAACGAAUAAGCACCGGCUAACUCCGUGCCAGCAGCCGCGGUAAUACGUAGGGUGCAAGCGUUACUCGGAAUUACUGGGCGUAAAGAGCGCGUAGGCGGGAUAGCAAGUCAGAUGUGAAAUCCUAUGGCUUAACCAUAGAACUGCAUUUGAAACUGUUUAUCUAGAGUAUGGGAGAGGUAGGUGGAAUUCUUGGUGUAGGGGUAAAAUCCGUAGAGAUCAAGAGGAAAACGAAAUGCGAAGGCGACCUGCUAGAACAUAACUGACGCUGAUGCGCGAAAGCGUGGGGAGCAAACAGGAUUAGAUACCCUUGUAGUC
This 440-nucleotide ribosomal RNA is filed under the name uncultured bacterium. Its description in RNAcentral is "partial 16S ribosomal RNA". It matches the Rfam family "Bacterial small subunit ribosomal RNA", at positions 338 to 795 of the family's 1533-position model. The record is from RNAcentral.